RNAcentral lists this ribosomal RNA (999 nucleotides) under Candidatus Fukatsuia symbiotica. RNAcentral describes it as "bacterial SSU rRNA". It matches the Rfam family "Bacterial small subunit ribosomal RNA", at positions 8 to 994 of the family's 1533-position model. The record is from RNAcentral. Lineage: Bacteria; Pseudomonadati; Pseudomonadota; Gammaproteobacteria; Enterobacterales; Yersiniaceae.
AGAGUUUGAUCCUGGCUCAGAUUGAACGCUGGCGGCAGGCCUAACACAUGCAAGUCGAGCGGCAUCGGGAAGGUAGCUUGCUAUCUUUGCCGGCGAGCGGCGGACGGGUGAGUAAAGUCUGGGGAUCUGUCUGAUGGAGGGGGAUAACUACUGGAAACGGUAGCUAAUACCGCAUGAUGUUACGCGACCAAAGCGGGGGACCUCCGGGCCUCGCGCCAUCAGAUGAACCCAGAUGGGAUUAGCUAGUAGGAGAGGUAAUGGCUCCCCUAGGCGACGAUCCCUAGCUGGUCUGAGAGGAUAACCAGCCACACUGGAACUGAGAGACGGUCCAGACUCCUACGGGAGGCAGCAGUGGGGAAUAUUGCACAAUGGGCGCAAGCCUGAUGCAGCCAUGCCGCGUGUGUGAAGAAGGCCUUCGGGUUGUAAAGCACUUUCAGCGAGGAGGAAUGAAGCAAUGCAAAGAGUGUUGCUAAUGGACGUUACUCGCAGAAGAAGCACCGGCUAACUCCGUGCCAGCAGCCGCGGUAAUACGGAGGGUGCGAGCGUUAAUCGGAAUUACUGGGCGUAAAGAGCACGUAGGCGGUUUCUUAAGUCAGAUGUGAAAUCCCCGAGCUUCACUUGGGAACGGCAUUUGAAACUGAGAGUCUAGAGUUUUGUAGAGGGGGGUAGAAUUCCAGGUGUAGCGGUGAAAUGCGUAGAUAUCUGGAGGAAUACCGGUGGCGAAGGCGGCCCCCUGGACAGAGACUGACGCUGAGGUGCGAAAGCGUGGGUAGCAAACAGGAUUAGAUACCCUGGUAGUCCACGCUGUAAACGAUGUCGAUUUGUAGGUUGUGGUUAUAAACUGUGGCUUGCGGAGCAAACGCGUUAAAUCGACCGCCUGGGGAGUACGGCCGCAAGGUUAAAACUCAAAUGAAUUGACGGGGGCCCGCACAAGCGGUGGAGCAUGUGGUUUAAUUCGAUGCCACGCGAAGAACCUUACCUACUCUUGACAUCCAGAGG